This 1372-nucleotide ribosomal RNA is filed under the name uncultured bacterium. RNAcentral's name for it is "bacterial SSU rRNA". It matches the Rfam family "Bacterial small subunit ribosomal RNA", at positions 28 to 1381 of the family's 1533-position model. The record is from RNAcentral.
GAUGAACGCUGGCGGCGUGCCUAAUACAUGCAAGUCGAGCGAACGGACGAGAAGCUUGCUUCUCUGAUGUUAGCGGCGGACGGGUGAGUAACACGUGGAUAACCUACCUAUAAGACUGGGAUAACUUCGGGAAACCGGAGCUAAUACCGGAUAAUAUUUUGAACCGCAUGGUUCAAAAGUGAAAGACGGUCUUGCUGUCACUUAUAGAUGGAUCCGCGCUGCAUUAGCUAGUUGGUAAGGUAACGGCUUACCAAGGCAACGAUGCAUAGCCGACCUGAGAGGGUGAUCGGCCACACUGGAACUGAGACACGGUCCAGACUCCCACGGGAGGCAGCAGUAGGGAAUCUUCCGCAAUGGGCGAAAGCCUGACCGAGCAACGCCGCGUGAGUGAUGAAGGUCUUCGGAUCGUAAAACUCUGUUAUUAGGGAAGAACAUAUGUGUAAAGUAACUGUGCACAUCUUGACGGUACCUAAUCACAAAGCCACGGCUAACUACGUGCCAGCCGCCGCGGUAAUACGUAAGUGGCAAGCGUUAUCCCGAAUAUUGGGCGUCAAGCCGCGCGUAGGCGGUUUUUUAGUCUGAUGUGAAAGCCCACGGCUCAUUCGUGGAGGGUCAUUGGAAACUGGAAAACUUGAGUGCAGAAGAGGAAAGUGGAAUUCCAUGUGUAGCGGUGAAAUGCGCAGAGAUAUGGAGGAACACCAGUGGCGAAGGCGACUUUCUGGUCUGUAACUGACGCUGAUGUGCGAAAGCGUGGGGAUCAAACAGGAUUAGAUACCCUGGUAGUCCACGCCGUAAACGAUGAGUGCUAAGUGUUAGGGGGUUUCCGCCCCUUAGUGCUGCAGCUAACGCAUUAAGCACUCCGCCUGGGGAGUACGACCGCAAGGCUGAAACUCAAAGGAAUUGACGGGGACCCGCACAAGCGGUGGAGCAUGUGGUUUAAUUCGAAGCAACGCGAAGAACCUUACCAAAUCUUGACAUCCUUUGACAACUCUAGAGAUAGAGCUUUCCCCUUCGGGGGACAAAGUGACAGGUGGUGCAUGGUUGUCGUCAGCUCGUGUCGUGAGAUGUUGGGUUAAGUCCCGCAACGAGCGCAACCCUUAAGCUUAGUUGCCAUCAUUAAGUUGGGCACUCUAAGUUGACUGCCGGUGACAAACCGGAGGAAGGUGGGGAUGACGUCAAAUCAUCAUGCCCCUUAUGAUUUGGGCUACACACGUGCUACAAUGGACAAUACAAAGGGCAGCGAAACCGCGAGGUCAAGCAAAUCCCAUAAAGUUGUUCUCAGUUCGGAUUGUAGUCUGCAACUCGACUACAUGAAGCUGGAAUCGCUAGUAAUCGUAGAUCAGCAUGCUACGGUGAAUACGUUCCCGGGUCU